RNAcentral lists this long non-coding RNA (931 nucleotides) under Volvox carteri. RNAcentral's name for it is "long non-coding RNA (VCAR_LNC000202)". The record is from RNAcentral. Lineage: Eukaryota; Viridiplantae; Chlorophyta; Chlorophyceae; Chlamydomonadales; Volvocaceae.
CAACACGCCCUGGAUGGCCAAACGCCAUAACCCACAAAACACGCUGCUGUAGCAUCUGCUCCCUCCCUGCAGCUGCAACUGCUUUAGCGGUUGGCCUUGGCCACGCGCUCAAUCUCGUCCUUCUUUUUAAUCGCGUAGCUGUGGCGGAGGAGGCGGUCAAUGGGGAGGAACAUUAGGAGACCAAAAUGACGUAUUUCGGCCUAUCAUAUGAUUCCAUUGAACAAUCCCGCUAGGAAGGAUAAACCCCACAUCGGACAAUCCACCCGCCUGUCACCCAGCCUUCGCAAAAACUGGCGCAUAAAACUGGAAGCACAUCCGCCCUGACCCGGCAGCAGGUUCAGCAUUAGUUGACACGAACAUGUCCGCAAAAGGCUGCAAAGCGGACAGCACCCACAGUGCGGCUUCUGCCAAAUAGACGCUGCAACUUGCCUGACUUGGCCUCACCAAUUUUUAAAACUGGAAACAACGCCUACCUGUUAGACGAGCCCUUGGCGGCGUUUACCAGCUCGUCAGCCAGGCACUCCGCAAUCGUCUUAAUGUUGCGGAACGCGGCCUCGCGAGCGCCGGUCGUGAGCAGGUAAAUAGCCUGAUGCGGCAUGUGGCAAAGAUGCGGCACCAUCCAGGAACAUACGCUAAGAACGCACGCAUCUGCAGCAUUGGAGCCUCUAAACUGAAGGUUACGCAACGCACGACGACGGUCACCUUGUUCAUAUCCCACUGGGCGGGCGUCUUUCUAGCCCAAUAAUUAGAAGUUCCACUAGCCCCUUUACCGUUGAAGCCGGGAGCCCCAAGGUCCAGUCUCAGUCCCCAAAGGAAACCCCCUCGACUAAGCGCCCACCUGGUUCACGCGGCGCAAUGGCGAGAUAUCGACAGCCUGACGGCGGACCACACCAGCCGAGCCAAUGCGGGUCGCAUCCUCACGCGGUCCACU